UUAACUCACUCCCCGAGCAGAGUCCCCAAACGCUUUCUCCCAAUUUCUGAGAUCUGCGCAAAACCCUAAACCCCAUUUGCGAUUUUGCUUCAAAUUCAGUCACAAUGUCGAUGUCGAAGAGUUCUAAGAUGCUUCAAUACAUCAAUUAUCGUAUGCGUGUUACUAUCCAGGAUGGCCGUCAAUUGAUCGGCAAGUUUAUGGCAUUUGAUCGACAUAUGAAUCUUGUACUCGGCGAUUGUGAAGAGUUUCGUAAGCUUCCUCCUACUAAAGGUUCUAAGGAAGAACGUGAAGAUCGCCGUACACUUGGUCUUCUUCUUCUCAGGGGUGAAGAAGUGAUUUCCAUGACUGUUGAAGGUCCUCCACCUCCGGAUGAUUCUCGUGUUAAAGCUACUGCUGGUGGUGUUUCUGCUGUUCCUGGACCCGGGUUGGGUCGGGCUGCGGGUCGGGGUGUUCCGACUGGUCCGAUGGUUCAUGCUCAGCCGGGUCUUGCUGGUCCUGUUCGUGGUGUUGGUGGACCUGCACCGGGAAUGAUGCAGCCGCAGAUUUCUCGUCCGCCGAUUAAUUACCCGCAGCAGCCUCCUCCUAUGGUUCGACCACCUGGUGGUGGGCCUCCACCUCCAAUGCAAAUGCAAAUGCAAAGACCUGGUGGCCCACCUAUGCCUCCGCCGCCACAGUUCAGGCCUGGUGGUCCUGGACCGUUUCCGCCUCAGUUUGGUCAGAGGCCCAUGGGACCACCACCUCCACAGAUGAUGAGAGGUCCUCCACCACCAGGGUCGCAGCCACCAAGACCUGGAAUGCCUGGUGGGCCACCUCAUCCGGGGAUGCCUCCACCUCCUGGUGGGCAAAUUCCAGUCUUUGGACCUCCUCGCCCGGGAAUGCCACCUCCUCCAAAUGCACCUCACCAGCAGAAUCAGCAGCAGUAGAAUCAAUGGUGCGCUGUUAUGAUGUUGUCUCUUGAUGGAUCUGGAAGGUGUGGAUGGAAAUUGCUCUGGUUUUGAAUAUAUAGUGAUAUAGGUUUUGGACAGACAGAGGGCAUGCUCUGUAAAGGUCAAGUAGUCAUUAGCUUCUCCUGCUUACCUCAAUGAUCGUUAUCUUAGGUCCUUUUUUCAGCACUCAGCUAAGGAUUUGGUGUUUGGGCGAUCAAACUAAGGCUAUAUUUGAUGGUGGUUGAGUGAUAUUUGCUUUCAAUUAGCUUGUAAUUGUGCAAGAUAGGAGACUUUAAACUAAUGUUCUUAGCAGUAUUUGUCAAACUUCCUGUCUUUUGAUUUUCAAUAUUGCUUUCUGCUAUGACUUAAUGAAGAUUUCAGUGGGUU
This is an RNA transcript of Solanum verrucosum, 1313 nucleotides long. RefSeq lists it as uncharacterized. The transcript has 3 exons. The record is from RefSeq and is a predicted model, not a curated record. Lineage: Eukaryota; Viridiplantae; Streptophyta; Magnoliopsida; Solanales; Solanaceae.